RNAcentral lists this unclassified non-coding RNA (1385 nucleotides) under Leishmania donovani. RNAcentral describes it as "gene:unknown". Lineage: Eukaryota; Euglenozoa; Kinetoplastea; Trypanosomatida; Trypanosomatidae. The record is from RNAcentral.
CGCUGUACGUUGGUGCGACUGGCACCAGAACUCCUACGCCGACAAGCAUACAAAGUCGUAUACGCAAUUCUUCUUUUCGUUGGACACUCCCUGGCCAGAGACCUGUGUAUUUGUGCACUAUCCUAUCCUCUACGCAGAGACAAGCACACGAGAAUGUACCGUGCGUCGCGCCGCUUCCUCCACACACCGUCGAUUCGGUUCACGUACGCCCUUGCCAAGAGCUGCGGAAGCGCCGGCGGUGCAGGCGCAACGGCCUCCCCAAGUGCGGGGAAGAACGCACCUAGGCAGACCAUUCUCGAGUCCUUCGACGAACUUCCGAAGCACCUCCGCCCUCAUGUGUUUGAGGAGAUCGAAAUCGAGACGAUUCACAUGGGUGGCGCCGCCUCGUACGUGCCGAAACACCUCCAGAAGAAAAAGAAAUAGGCGGCAGCGGCAGUGCUUGCCACUCGCCGACGAGCGAACGAAGGAACGGGGUACAAGCACACACGUACACACACACACACACACACAUACGCUCUCUGUGAUGCACAUCUGCCGCUUUCCCACGUGCAAAGGUACCGACGAAUGCUCGCGAGCCACAUGGAGCGAGCGGCGCAGGGGUCAGCGCAGGCGCGGUCUCGCUUUCCCUCCAUGCCCGGCAUCCGACAACACUCCUGGUGCGAUGAACCCACUCGCAGACUUAUCGACACCGCUGCACAGCUAUCGCAGCAAAGUCGUCGCUGUGCUUUUCACCUCUCCCUCCCUCUUUCGUCAAGCCGCCCAUGGAAAAGGUGAAGACGCAAGUGGACGCGAGGGGCAGUGGACAGGCCAGCUAGCGCGACCGUUCCCAGCGGGGCAGCAGAGGGGAAGGUUAACACGUACAUAUAUAUAUAAAGCGCCUUGAAUCUUUUUCUGUCGUCAUCUCGUGUACUCGUGCGUGCGAGUGAGUGCCGACUGCACACUCUCGUCACUUCGCCAUCAAUCAGCCACCCUCUGAUUGUGCGUGGGUGCGCUGCUGUGCCGUUCACAAGCGGUUACGACGGUGAGUUGUUGUCAUGUGAGCGUGUCUUACGCUGAAGCAAGUUGAUCUUUCUUGUCUUCCUCUCUCUCUCUCUCUCGUGCUUGCUGUUGGGUGCGCGCGCUGGCGAAUGUGCGUGGGUUUGUGCCUCGCCUCUGCAACUGCGAGCCGAGGCGAACGACGAGACGGGCAAAGAAGGGAGGUGGCGCGCGUGAGGCGAGGGGCAUUUUGCAUGGAUGCAUCGCAGAGCGCCCCCCCCCCCCCCCCCCAACGGUGCCGGUGCAGCAGCUCUACACUGCAUCUUUCCUUCUCUGACACCGGCGCCAGCAGGGCCUCAAAGGCACAUACCCUUUUCGGAGUGACGCCAUCGGGCGAGUGGCAGGUGUGG